Molecule: non-coding RNA, 21 nt
Filed under: Arabidopsis thaliana (thale cress)
Lineage: Eukaryota; Viridiplantae; Streptophyta; Magnoliopsida; Brassicales; Brassicaceae
Source: RNAcentral
AUGGUGAUGAUGAUAACCUGC